GGAUAUGAUGGCGAUCUGGCUGUGACAUAUGUCACCCCAUUGAUCACCAGAGUUGAUUCAGCUAAUCUGCUCCAUGUGUGUCCCUCCCGAAGCUGUGCGCUUGGUCGAAGAGGACAGCCUUCCCCGAAUAGAGAUGACAGACUGGUCUUCCAUUGAGGGUAUACAAGUAGCUGCGCUCCUCUGCUAGAACCUCCAAACAAGCUUUCAGGAUAAGUCUUCUUUGAGUGGCAGAAUAAGAAGACCUAACCUCCCUUUGGAGGCAAUCCCUACUAAUG
Molecule: small nuclear RNA, 275 nt
Filed under: Erinaceus europaeus (western European hedgehog)
Lineage: Eukaryota; Metazoa; Chordata; Mammalia; Eulipotyphla; Erinaceidae
Description: 7SK RNA
Rfam family: 7SK RNA
About the family: 7SK was discovered as an abundant small nuclear RNA in the mid-70s but a possible function has only recently been suggested. Two independent studies have found that 7SK RNA binds the CDK9/cyclin T complex (known as elongation factor P-TEFb).
Source: Rfam by way of RNAcentral